This 269-nucleotide small RNA is filed under the name Sporolactobacillus laevolacticus DSM 442. Its description in RNAcentral is "BsrG". It matches the Rfam family "BsrG". From Rfam's summary of the family: bsrE, bsrG and bsrH pair through intermolecular interactions with antisense sRNAs. SR4 interaction with the 3'UTR of bsrG RNA promotes bsrG degradation and inhibits its translation. Lineage: Bacteria; Bacillati; Bacillota; Bacilli; Caryophanales; Sporolactobacillaceae. The record is from Rfam by way of RNAcentral.
UAUGGUAAUGAGGCAUAUGAGCGGACGGUAGUGACACCCUUAUGAUUGGGGGUGGUGCCGGUGACAGUAUAUCAAGCGUUGACACUUGCAAUCUCUUUUGCGGGUUUAAUUGUUAUGAUUCUGUCAUUCAAUAAAAGAAAAUGAUCCGCUUCAUAUGCCAUUGCAGUGGCUGAAGUGGAUCGUUUUUUGUGUUCGAAUGAUUUACUCUGCACUACUGUUCGCUUAAUGCGGAAGUUACCAUACUUGCCAUCGGUGUUCCAGCACCGAUG